CGCGCGCAGAGCGGGAAUCGGUGAUGGCGGCGGGUCCUGCCUUUGUCUGUUCCUGUCCUUGAGCCCAGGCCCUGAGGUGAGGCUGAGAAGUGGCGCGGAGGUGAGCCCAGAGCUGUCCCUGAGGUGAGGCUGAGAAUAAGUGCAAGGCAGAGGUGCUGCUGAGGAAGGAGAGCCCCAUGAUGGGG
Molecule: long non-coding RNA, 185 nt
Organism: Manacus vitellinus (golden-collared manakin)
Lineage: Eukaryota; Metazoa; Chordata; Aves; Passeriformes; Pipridae
Exons: 2
Source: RefSeq, a predicted model, not a curated record